Molecule: long non-coding RNA, 207 nt
Filed under: Elaeis guineensis (African oil palm)
Lineage: Eukaryota; Viridiplantae; Streptophyta; Magnoliopsida; Arecales; Arecaceae
Description: long non-coding RNA (EGUI_LNC065683)
Source: RNAcentral
UGAACAACUAAAGCCGCACACAGCUCUCUAUUUGUGAACGGGACUUUUAACACCUUAAAUCUGUGAGAAAACAGGAGUAUAGACUCCUCACAGCACCCAAAGAUCUCCUUGAACCCUUGGAUCAUGAUCGGCAGCACUCCAGGCCGUCCGAUCGCACAAUGGUCCAUGAAAACCCCUGUAGACCAUGAGAAACCUAUGGAAAAUGCC